AGAGUUUGAUCCUGGCUCAGGACGAACGCUGACGGUGUGCUUUAGGCAUGCAAGUCGAACGAGAAAACCCUUCGGGGUAAGUAAAGUGGCGAACGGGUGAGUAACACGUGGGCAACCUGCCCCUCGCAGGGGGACAACCGGAGGAAACUCCGGCUAAUACCCCGUAAGCUCUACUCGCCGCAUGGCGAGUAGAGGAAAGGUAGCUUCGGCCAUCCGGCGAGGGAUGGGCCCGCGGUGCAUUAGCUAGUUGGUGGGGUAACGGCCCACCAAGGCGACGAUGCGUAGCUGGUCUGAGAGGAUGAUCAGCCACACUGGGACUGAGACACGGCCCAGACUCCUACGGGAGGCAGCAGCCAGGAAUCUUGGGCAAUGGGCGAAAGCCUGACCCAGCAACACCGUGUGGGUGAUGAAGGCCUUCGGGUCGUAAAGCCCUGUUGAUAGGGACGAAGGGCGAAGGGUUAAUAGCCCGGAGCUUGACGGUACCUUUCGAGGAAGCCCCGGCUAACUACGUGCCAGCAGCCGCGGUAAUACGUAGGGGGCGAGCGUUGUCCGGAAUUAUUGGGCGUAAAGAGCGUGUAGGCGGUUCGGUAAGUCUGUCGUGAAAUCCUGGGGCUCAACCCUGGGCGUGCGAUGGAUACUGCCGGGCUAGAGGGUGGUAGAGGCGAGUGGAAUUCCCGGUGUAGCGGUGAAAUGCGCAGAUAUCGGGAGGAACACCAGUAGCGAAGGCGGCUCGCUGGGCCACACCUGACGCUGAGACGCGAAAGCUAGGGGAGCGAACAGGAUUAGAUACCCUAGUAGUCC
Molecule: ribosomal RNA, 801 nt
Filed under: uncultured bacterium
Lineage: Bacteria
Description: bacterial SSU rRNA
Rfam family: Bacterial small subunit ribosomal RNA
Source: RNAcentral